ACCUGACCAUCUCAGUCUUCCCCGACUAUACUGCUAUGGUAGCAUGGGCUUGUGCUGCAUUCAACACGGUCAGGCAGCAAUUCCAUGGCAUUGAAGGUGUUCGGUAUGGCCUGUUUCAUCUAGUGCGACUUCUCAUCACACAUAAGGGUGUUGAGAAGGACUUUGUUUCAGCGGAGGAAGCCAGUAAUUAUGUCAAAACUUUGAUCUCUGGGUGAGCUUCAAUAGCCAUUCAGUUUGGUACUGUAAUGCUACUAAGGGUUUACGCUCUCGUUAGGUUUAACGCUUCCUGUGCAUCAUUUUCUUAGGGCGUUGCGCUAGUUAUUGUACUGUUGGUCUGCUGUUUCAUUUUAUUUUCAUUGUUAUAUAAUGAGACUAAAUCCUAUGUUAUACUCAUGUACUUCGGAUCAGUCCAGCACAAUAUUUUCUAAGCUUACUGCAUUGAUUUGCACAGGACUCGUUUUGUUUUGUUUUUUUAUGCACUUCUGUUGUAGUUGUUUUUUGUUAAAUGUUCAGCAACAACGGGGGUGUUUUGUUUUGUUUUGUACAUGUUUAUUGUUGUGCGCACACUGUUAUACAGUAGGGAAGGUGGCGGGAGUGUUUUUCUCUCUUGUUUUUACUUUUAUUCAGGCUCCAGUUAGUCCAGUCACUUUGGUGAAUCAUUUUUGCUACUUUGGGGUACACUGCUGUCUCCUUUGUUCUGUUCUGUGGAGACCUGUGUUAGGAUGCCUGGGUCGUUGACCCAGGGUUUUUGAGUUUAUUAUAGUAUUUAUAAUUUCUAGUCUUUGGUUUCUUUGAGUUCUGUCUUAUGGUUUAUGUCUCUGUCUUCUCUAGUUGCUCUGUCUCCCCUGUCAGCUGUAUCCCUUGUCUAGUUCAUGUCUCUGUGUAUCCUUAGUUGCUAUAUCCCCGUGUCCAGUCAGUGUCUGUGUCUGCCCUGGUCCCACGUCUCUGUUCCCUCUGUUGUAGUGCCUGCAUGUGAGUCUGUGUCUUUUGUUCAGUCUGUGUUAUGGGUUUCCUGUUUUACUUUGAAAGUCCAUGUCUGAUGUUAAUGUGUCUGGUUUUGCUUCCCCUUGUCUCGUUAGGCCUGAUUUGCCCCAGCUGUGUUUCCCUCCUGUUACCCAUUCCCUGAUUGCUUCCUCUGUGUAUUUAAGCCCUGUGUUUCUCUGUGUCUGUGUCGCGAUCUACUGUUUAUUUGGCUGUGUGUUCUGUCAGUCCUCUGGUUUAAGUUUAUUUUGAUUUUUUUUUUCCCCAGUUAUGUUAUAUUUUGAGUUUUACAUUAAAGCUGUUUUGAGUUCACGACUGUCUCCGGAGUCUGCACCUUGGGUCCUAUUCCUGUCUGCACACAGCCACACAUAACAACCUGGGGUGUAUUUGUUUCCAGGGUUAUUGGGGGGGGCUGUCUCUUUUCGGCUCUUUACGGCCACUGGCAUUUUAGUUGUUGUUGUGUUUUGUUUAUUUAUUCUUCUUUAUGAAUGGCUAAUGGCAAUAUACACCCCAGCAUUGUUGGGUCAAGCAUAGGGAUGGGUACCGGUAUCCGGUGCCAUAAUGGCACCGGUUCUGACAUAAACAGUAGUAACCAGACCAAAAAGCAGCGCACAUUUCGGUGCUUUUUUUUUUCCUGAGAUGUCAUACACUUUGGAUUCCAGCCAAUCAUUCUACGUUUGUGAGCGUAGUAGGUGGGCCCAGGUACGUACGUUCUUUUAGAGCAGAGCUACAGAUUAAAAAUGCCCAAAGCAAAGCGGUCAAAGUCUGGCUGUACUUUACAGCAAAAGAUGCAAACUCAGCAGCCUGCAACAAGUGCU
Long non-coding RNA from Astatotilapia calliptera (eastern happy), 1799 nucleotides. The record is from Ensembl. NCBI's taxonomy places the organism in Eukaryota, Metazoa, Chordata, Actinopteri, Cichliformes, Cichlidae.